CCUACGGGUGUGCAGCAGUAGGGAAUUUUCGUCAAUGGGCGCAAGCCUGAACGAGCAAUGCCGCGUGAACGAGGAAGGUCUUCGGAUCGUAAAGUUCUGUUGACGGGGAAAAAGAGCGGAGAGAGGAACUGCUUUCUGAUUGACAUUACCCUUCGCGGAAGCCAAGGCUAACUACGUGCCAGCAGCCGCGGUAAUACGUAGGUGGCGAGCGGUAUCCGGAAUGAUUGGGCGUAAAGGGUGCGGAGGCGGCCUGGUAAGUCUGGAGUGAAAGGUACCGGCCCAACCGGUACAGGCACUGGAAACUGGGGGGCUAGAGAGCAGGGGAGGGCGGGGGAACUGCAUGUGUAGCGGUAAAAUGCGUAGAUAUAUGGAAGAACAUCAGUGGCGAAGGCGGCCGCCUGGCCUGUUAACUGACGCUGAGGCACGAAAGCGUGGGGAGCGAAUAGGAUUAGAUACCCCAGUAGUC
This 466-nucleotide ribosomal RNA is filed under the name uncultured bacterium. RNAcentral's name for it is "partial 16S ribosomal RNA". It matches the Rfam family "Bacterial small subunit ribosomal RNA", at positions 338 to 795 of the family's 1533-position model. The record is from RNAcentral.